ACUCCUACGGGAGGCAGCAGUGGGGAAUAUUGGACAAUGGGCGCAAGCCUGAUCCAGCCAUGCCGCGUGAGUGACGAAGGCCUUAGGGUUGUAAAGCUCUUUUGGCGGGGACGAUAAUGACGGUACCCGCAGAAUAAGCCCCGGCUAACUUCGUGCCAGCAGCCGCGGUAAU
RNAcentral lists this ribosomal RNA (172 nucleotides) under uncultured bacterium. Its description in RNAcentral is "partial 16S ribosomal RNA". It matches the Rfam family "Bacterial small subunit ribosomal RNA", at positions 335 to 524 of the family's 1533-position model. The record is from RNAcentral.